GAUGAACGCUGGCGGCGUGCUUAACACAUGCAAGUCGAGCGGAAAGGCUCAAGCUUGCUUGGGUACUCGAGUGGCGAACGGGUGAGUAACACGUGGGUGAUCUGCCCUGCACUUCGGGAUAAGCCUGGGAAACUGGGUCUAAUACCGGAUAGGACGAUGGUUUGGAUGCCAUUGUGGAAAGUUUUUUCGGUGUGGGAUGAGCUCGCGGCCUAUCAGCUUGUUGGUGGGGUAAUGGCCUACCAAGGCGUCGACGGGUAGCCGGCCUGAGAGGGUGUACGGCCACAUUGGGACUGAGAUACGGCCCAGACUCCUACGGGCGGCAGCAGUGGGGGAUAUUGCACAAUGGGCGCGAGCCUGAUGCAGCGACGCCGCGUGGGGGAUGACGGCCUUCGGGUUGUAAGCUCCUUUCGCUAGGGACGAAGCGUUUUUGUGACGGUACCUGGAGAAGAAGCACCGGCUAACUACGUG
This 468-nucleotide ribosomal RNA is filed under the name uncultured bacterium. RNAcentral's name for it is "partial 16S ribosomal RNA". It matches the Rfam family "Bacterial small subunit ribosomal RNA", at positions 28 to 507 of the family's 1533-position model. The record is from RNAcentral.